AAGCUCGUAGUUGAAUUUCGGGGUCAGCAUGUUGGUCGUGCCACAGGUACGUACUGGCGUUGCUGAUUCCUCCCUCUUGACGAACCGUAAUGCCAUUAAUUUGGUGUUGCGGGGAAUCAGGACUGUUACUUUGAAAAAAUUAGAGUGUUUAAAGCAGGCAUGCGCUUGAAUACAUUAGCAUGGAAUAAUGAAAUAGGACGUUCGAUCCUAUUUUGUUGGUUUCUAGGAUUGACGUAAUGAUUAAUAGGGAUAGUUGGG
This 258-nucleotide ribosomal RNA is filed under the name uncultured Glomus. RNAcentral describes it as "partial 18S ribosomal RNA". It matches the Rfam family "Eukaryotic small subunit ribosomal RNA", at positions 624 to 886 of the family's 1831-position model. Lineage: Eukaryota; Fungi; Glomeromycota; Glomeromycetes; Glomerales; Glomeraceae. The record is from RNAcentral.